Rhincodon typus (whale shark) is the source of this 388-nucleotide long non-coding RNA. RefSeq lists it as uncharacterized. The transcript has 2 exons. The record is from RefSeq and is a predicted model, not a curated record. NCBI's taxonomy places the organism in Eukaryota, Metazoa, Chordata, Chondrichthyes, Orectolobiformes, Rhincodontidae.
AUGGCACAGCUUAGCCUGGCUGAAAAUAUUCACCAUCUUAAUUGGGUUCUGUUUCUGCAAAAAAGUGUCUAUUGAAGACUAAACAGAAUGGUUUGGUUACCAUCAAAUUUGUGAAGCUGGGGGAAGAAAACUGAAGAGAUUAAAACAUCAGCUGGCAGACAGAAACAAGCGCAGACGUGCCAUUCUGCCACUAGGGGACGGUAAGGCUCCACUUAUACAAUACCAGGGGUAAAGGAAAAUUCCACUCGUACUUCCCAAUGUGAUUGUGAUCGCGUGCCGAGCUUCUUAUUAAUGUACUGUCAGAGAAUAAAAUACAGUUGUGUCUUUAAGUCCUGUUGAAUAGUGACUUAAAAUGUGUGCUGAGAAUAAAAGCUUCUGCACAAAAAAA